AGUAAAUGGGACUGUUACUGGUAGACUGGUGGACCUGUUCACUUCCAACAACAGUGUAUUGGAAAUGGAGGCAACAGAGAAAAAGGAACACUCCCGCGGAGCUCUGACACCAGUGUACCUGAGACCACGCUCCAAGUCAGCAUUCGAUAUCUCAAGCAACUCGUCUCGAGUUGAGGCAGGAGUGAAAGGUGAAAGUCCAGUCAAACCGGGUCUGUACAACCGCCGGUCUUAUGAGGGAAUCCGAACAGUUUCGUUUUCAUCUGACAAUGC
This is a long non-coding RNA of Patiria miniata (bat star), 270 nucleotides long. RefSeq lists it as uncharacterized. The record is from RefSeq and is a predicted model, not a curated record. NCBI's taxonomy places the organism in Eukaryota, Metazoa, Echinodermata, Asteroidea, Valvatida, Asterinidae. The transcript is spliced from 3 exons.